GUCUAUGGUCAUACCACCCUGAACGUGCCUGAUCUAUCUGAUCUUGGAAGCUAAGCAGGGUGGAGCCUGGUUAGUACUUGGAUGGGAGAAAAUAAAUUUUGUCUAGAUU
Molecule: ribosomal RNA, 109 nt
Filed under: Propithecus coquereli (Coquerel's sifaka)
Lineage: Eukaryota; Metazoa; Chordata; Mammalia; Primates; Indriidae
Source: RNAcentral